Molecule: small RNA, 109 nt
Filed under: Escherichia coli
Lineage: Bacteria; Pseudomonadati; Pseudomonadota; Gammaproteobacteria; Enterobacterales; Enterobacteriaceae
Description: partial RtT sRNA
Rfam family: RtT RNA
About the family: This family represents a bacterial cis-regulatory element known as RtT RNA.
Source: RNAcentral
GAGAAGCUUCGACUAAGGUUCGGCUCGAGCGUCAGCGAGAGAGCGUUGCCGCAGGCAACGACCCGAAGGGCGAAGCGCGCAGCGCUGAGUAAUCCUUCCCCCACCACCA